RNAcentral lists this ribosomal RNA (379 nucleotides) under uncultured eukaryote. RNAcentral's name for it is "partial 18S ribosomal RNA". It matches the Rfam family "Eukaryotic small subunit ribosomal RNA", at positions 592 to 975 of the family's 1831-position model. The record is from RNAcentral.
CAAUAGCGUAUAUUAAAGUUGUUGCAGUUAGAACGCUCGUAGUCGGAUUUCGGGGCGGGCCGACCGGUCUGCCGAUGGGUAUGCACUGGUCGGCGCGUCCUUCCUUCCGGAGACCGUCCCUACUCUUAACUGAGCGGGGGCGGGAGACGGGACUUUUACUUUGAAAAAAUCAGAGUGUUUCAAGCAGGCAGCUCGCUCUUGCAUGGAUUAGCAUGGGAUAAUGAAAUAGGACUUUGGUGCUAUUUUGUUGGUUUCGAACACCGAAGUAAUGAUGAGAAGGGACAGUCAGGGGCACUCGUACUCCGCCGAGAGAGGUGAAAUUCUCAGACCAGCGGAAGACGAACCACUGCGAAAGCAUUUGCCAGGGAUGUUUNCACUG